AGGAGGAACAGCCCCAGUGGCGGGGCAGCUCUGGAAACCUGGAUUCAGCCCCCGCAGGAACUCCGGAGCUCUCCGUCUGCAGGGCCUGGAGGCUCCGGGGCGGG
Molecule: non-coding RNA, 104 nt
Organism: Canis lupus familiaris (dog)
Lineage: Eukaryota; Metazoa; Chordata; Mammalia; Carnivora; Canidae
Source: Rfam